AGAGUUUGAUCCUGGCUCAGGACGAACGCUGGCGGCGUGCCUAACACAUGCAAGUCGAACGGGGAGUUACUUGUAACUCCUAGUGGCGAACGGGUGAGUAACGCGUAGACAACCUGCCUCUAAACUGGGGACAACACCGCGAAAGUGGUGCUAAUACCGAAUGUGGUAUCUUGAUCGCAUGAUUGAGAUAAGAAAGAUGGCCUCUUUACAAUGCUAUCGAUUAGAGAUGGGUCUGCGUCUGAUUAGCUAGUUGGUGAGGUAAUGGCUCACCAAGGCGACGAUCAGUAGCCGGUCUGAGAGGAUGAACGGCCACACUGGGACUGAGACACGGCCCAGACUCCUACGGGAGGCAGCAGUGGGGAAUCUUCCGCAAUGGACGAAAGUCUGACGGAGCAACGCCGCGUGAGUGAAGAAGGUUUUCGGACUGUAAAGCUCUGUCGUUUGGGACGAACGUGGGUAGGGUAAAUAAUCCUAUCUAAUGACGGUACCAAAGGAGGAAGCCACGGCUAACUACGUGCCAGCAGCCGCGGUAAUACGUAGGUGGCAAGCGUUGUCCGGAAUUAUUGGGCGUAAAGGGCGUGUAGGUGGAUCUUUAAGUCGUGUGUCUAAGUGCGGAGCUCAACUCCGUAUUGGCGCAGGAAACUGGGGAUCUUGAGUGCAGGAGAGGAAAGUGGAAUUCCCAGUGUAGCGGUGAAAUGCGUAGAUAUUGGGAGGAACACCAGUGGCGAAGGCGACUUUCUGGACUGUGUCUGACACUGAGGCGCGAAAGCUAGGGGAGCGAACGGGAUUAGAUACCCCGG
This 800-nucleotide ribosomal RNA is filed under the name uncultured bacterium. Its description in RNAcentral is "bacterial SSU rRNA". It matches the Rfam family "Bacterial small subunit ribosomal RNA", at positions 8 to 790 of the family's 1533-position model. The record is from RNAcentral.